GGUCAAGUGAAGAAGCGCAUACGGUGGAUGCCUUGGCAGUCAGAGGCGAUGAAAGACGUGGUAGCCUGCGAAAAGCUUCGGGGAGUCGGCAAACAGACUUUGAUCCGGAGAUGUCUGAAUGGGGGAACCCAGCCAUCAUAAGAUGGUUAUCUUGUACUGAAUACAUAGGUGCAAGAGGCGAACCAGGGGAACUGAAACAUCUAAGUACCCUGAGGAAAAGAAAUCAACCGAGAUUCCCUUAGUAGUGGCGAGCGAACGGGGACUAGCCCUUAAGUGGCUUUGAGAUUAGCGGAACGCUCUGGAAAGUGCGGCCAUAGUGGGUGAUAGCCCUGUACGCGAAAAUCUCUUAGUCAUGAAAUCGAGUAGGACGGAGCACGAGAAACUUUGUCUGAAUAUGGGGGGACCAUCCUCCAAGGCUAAAUACUACUGACUGACCGAUAGUGAACUAGUACCGUGAGGGAAAGGCGAAAAGAACCCCGGAGAGGGGAGUGAAAUAGAUCCUGAAACCGUAUGCGUACAAGCAGUGGGAGCAGACUUUGUUCUGUGACUGCGUACCUUUUGUAUAAUGGGUCAGCGACUUAUUUUCAGUGGCGAGCUUAACCGAAUAGGGGAGGCGUAGCGAAAGCGAGUCUUAAUAGGGCGUCUAGUCGCUGGGAAUAGACCCGAAACCGGGCGAUCUAUCCAUGGGCAGGUUGAAGGUUGGGUAACACUAACUGGAGGACCGAACCGACUACCGUUGAAAAGUUAGCGGAUGACCUGUGGAUCGGAGUGAAAGGCUAAUCAAGCUCGGAGAUAGCUGGUUCUCCUCGAAAGCUAUUUAGGUAGCGCCUCAUGUAUCACUGUAGGGGGUAGAGCACUGUUUCGGCUAGGGGGUCAUCCCGACUUACCAAACCGAUGCAAACUCCGAAUACCUACAAGUGCCGAGCAUGGGAGACACACGGCGGGUGCUAACGUCCGUCGUGAAAAGGGAAACAACCCAGACCGUCAGCUAAGGUCCCAAAGUUAUGGUUAAGUGGGAAACGAUGUGGGAAGGCUUAGACAGCUAGGAGGUUGGCUUAGAAGCAGCCACCCUUUAAAGAAAGCGUAAUAGCUCACUAGUCGAGUCGGCCUGCGCGGAAGAUGUAACGGGGCUCAAACCAUACACCGAAGCUACGGGUAUCACGUAAGUGAUGCGGUAGAGGAGCGUUCUGUAAGCCUGUGAAGGUGAGUUGAGAAGCUUGCUGGAGGUAUCAGAAGUGCGAAUGCUGACAUGAGUAACGACAAUGGGUGUGAAAAACACCCACGCCGAAAGACCAAGGUUUCCUGCGCAACGUUAAUCGACGCAGGGUUAGUCGGUCCCUAAGGCGAGGCUGAAAAGCGUAGUCGAUGGAAAACAGGUUAAUAUUCCUGUACUUCUGGUUAUUGCGAUGGAGGGACGGAGAAGGCUAGGCCAGCUUGGCGUUGGUUGUCCAAGUUUAAGGUGGUAGGCUGGAAUCUUAGGUAAAUCCGGGAUUCUAAGGCCGAGAGCUGAUGACGAGUCAUCUUUUAGAUGACGAAGUGGUUGAUGCCAUGCUUCCAAGAAAAGCUUCUAAGCUUCAGGUAACCAGGAACCGUACCCCAAACCGACACAGGGUGGUUGGGUAGAGAAUACCAAGGCGCUUGAGAGAACUCGGGUGAAGGAACUAGGCAAAAUGGCACCGUAACUUCGGGAGAAGGUGCGCCGGUGAGGGUGAAGGACUUGCUCCGUAAGCCCAUGCCGGUCGAAGAUACCAGGCCGCUGCGACUGUUUAUUAAAAACACAGCACUCUGCAAACACGAAAGUGGACGUAUAGGGUGUGACGCCUGCCCGGUGCCGGAAGGUUAAUUGAUGGGGUUAGCUAACGCGAAGCUCUUGAUCGAAGCCCCGGUAAACGGCGGCCGUAACUAUAACGGUCCUAAGGUAGCGAAAUUCCUUGUCGGGUAAGUUCCGACCUGCACGAAUGGCGUAACGAUGGCGGCGCUGUCUCCACCCGAGACUCAGUGAAAUUGAAAUCGCUGUGAAGAUGCAGUGUAUCCGCGGCUAGACGGAAAGACCCCGUGAACCUUUACUAUAGCUUUGCACUGGACUUUGAAUUUGCUUGUGUAGGAUAGGUGGGAGGCUUUGAAGCGUGGACGCCAGUCUGCGUGGAGCCAUCCUUGAAAUACCACCCUGGCAACUUUGAGGUUCUAACUCAGGUCCGUUAUCCGGAUCGAGGACAGUGUAUGGUGGGUAGUUUGACUGGGGCGGUCUCCUCCUAAAGAGUAACGGAGGAGUACGAAGGUGCGCUCAGACCGGUCGGAAAUCGGUCGUAGAGUAUAAAGGCAAAAGCGCGCUUGACUGCGAGACAGACACGUCGAGCAGGUACGAAAGUAGGUCUUAGUGAUCCGGUGGUUCUGUAUGGAAGGGCCAUCGCUCAACGGAUAAAAGGUACUCCGGGGAUAACAGGCUGAUACCGCCCAAGAGUUCAUAUCGACGGCGGUGUUUGGCACCUCGAUGUCGGCUCAUCACAUCCUGGGGCUGAAGCCGGUCCCAAGGGUAUGGCUGUUCGCCAUUUAAAGUGGUACGCGAGCUGGGUUUAGAACGUCGUGAGACAGUUCGGUCCCUAUCUGCCGUGGACGUUUGAGAUUUGAGAGGGGCUGCUCCUAGUACGAGAGGACCGGAGUGGACGAACCUCUGGUGUUCCGGUUGUCACGCCAGUGGCAUUGCCGGGUAGCUAUGUUCGGAAUAGAUAACCGCUGAAAGCAUCUAAGCGGGAAACUAGCCUCAAGAUGAGAUCUCACUGGAACCUUGAGUUCCCUGAAGGGCCGUCGAAGACUACGACGUUGAUAGGUUGGGUGUGUAAGCGCUGUGAGGCGUUGAGCUAACCAAUACUAAUUGCCCGUGAGGCUUGACCAU
RNAcentral lists this ribosomal RNA (2893 nucleotides) under Pseudomonas palleroniana. Its description in RNAcentral is "23S ribosomal RNA". It matches the Rfam family "Bacterial large subunit ribosomal RNA". Lineage: Bacteria; Pseudomonadati; Pseudomonadota; Gammaproteobacteria; Pseudomonadales; Pseudomonadaceae. The record is from RNAcentral.